GUAGGCCUCUCCCAAAGCACAACACUGGAUGCGAUUAUAGCUUUCCGAGCUUUCAGAGUGAGUAAGUUGUGUUUUUAUCAUCUAAAACUACAAGGUAAUAUUAACUUACCUGAGUAAGCAGGUACCUACCUACUUUCAUGGCUAUUAACGUCUGCAUACUCAGCAUUAUACGCAAUGGAGUAAGUACCACAUUAGGUCAAAUCUUGACUCAUUCAAGUAAAAAAUAUGUUUAAAUGAGAACACAUGCAAUAUUCACUAAAAUGUAUGAAGGUUUUAUUUUCAUAUCACAACACAAUACAAAUGAAUAAAUUAAGGAUACAAUUACGUAUGAAGUCUUUUUGAGUAGGUAUUUAAGUAUAUUAAAUAUUUAAAUUCACCAAAGUGAGAGUCAAAUUAAAGGUAGAUUCAAAUAAAUUAUUUCUACGUCUAUUGAAUAUCACAAGCAUGUACUGUACAUUCGUUACUAAUAGGCCUUAGAUUAACAAUAUACAUACGGUUAAAUAGU
Non-coding RNA from Plutella xylostella (diamondback moth), 505 nucleotides. Lineage: Eukaryota; Metazoa; Arthropoda; Insecta; Lepidoptera; Plutellidae. The record is from RefSeq and is a predicted model, not a curated record.